This 487-nucleotide ribosomal RNA is filed under the name uncultured bacterium. RNAcentral's name for it is "bacterial SSU rRNA". It matches the Rfam family "Bacterial small subunit ribosomal RNA", at positions 43 to 507 of the family's 1533-position model. The record is from RNAcentral.
CGUGCUUAAGACAUGCAAGUCGAACGGAAGGCCCCUUCGGGGGGUACUCGAGUGGCGCACGGGUGAGUAACGCGUGGGUAAUCUGCCUUCGGGUCUGGGACAACCCCGGGAAACUGGGGCUAAUACCGGAUAAGACCACGGACCUCUCGGGGUCUGCGGAAAAAGAUGGCCUCUCCUUGGAAGCUAUCGCCUGUCGAUGAGCCCGCGUCUGAUUAGCUUGUUGGUGAGGUAACGGCUCACCAAGGCUCCGAUCAGUAGCUGGUCUGAGAGGAUGAUCAGCCACACUGGAACUGAGACACGGUCCAGACUCCUACGGGAGGCAGCAGUCGGGAAUUUUGGGCAAUGGGCGAAAGCCUGACCCAGCAACGCCGCGUGAGGGAUGAAGGCCCUCGGGUCGUAAACCUCUGUCGGGAGGGAAGAACGGUGACUCUUCGAAUAGGUGAGUCGCCUGACGGUACCUCCAAAGGAAGCACCGGCUAACUCCGUG